Molecule: transfer RNA, 56 nt
Filed under: Triticum urartu
Lineage: Eukaryota; Viridiplantae; Streptophyta; Magnoliopsida; Poales; Poaceae
Rfam family: tRNA
About the family: Transfer RNA (tRNA) molecules are approximately 80 nucleotides in length. Their secondary structure includes four short double-helical elements and three loops (D, anti-codon, and T loops).
Source: Rfam by way of RNAcentral
GCUCAGUUGGUAAAGCACAAGGCUUUUAACCAUGUGGACGUGGAUUCAAGUCCCAU